AAGCCGGAGCUUGCUCUGGUGGAUUAGUGGCGAACGGGUGAGUAACACGUGAGUAACCUGCCCCUGACUCUGGGAUAAGCGCUGGAAACGGCGUCUAAUACCGGAUAUGCGCUGUAACCGCAUGGUUUGCAGCGGGAAAGAUUUAUCGGUUGGGGAUGGACUCGCGGCCUAUCAGCUUGUUGGUGAGGUAAUGGCUCACCAAGGCGUCGACGGGUAGCCGGCCUGAGAGGGUGACCGGCCACACUGGGACUGAGACACGGCCCAGACUCCUACGGGAGGCAGCAGUGGGGAAUAUUGCACAAUGGGCGCAAGCCUGAUGCAGCAACGCCGCGUGAGGGAUGACGGCCUUCGGGUUGUAAACCUCUUUUAGCAGGGAAGAAGCCUUCGGGUGACGGUACCUGCAGAAAAAGCGCCGGCUAACUACGUGCCAGCAGCCGCGGUAAUACGUAGGGCGCAAGCGUUAUCCGGAAUUAUUGGGCGUAAAGAGCUCGUAGGCGGUUUGUCACGUCUGCUGUGAAAACUGGAGGCUCAACCUCCAGCCUGCAGUGGGUACGGGCAGACUAGAGUGCGGUAGGGGAGAUUGGAAUUCCUGGUGUAGCGGUGGAAUGCGCAGAUAUCAGGAGGAACACCGAUGGCGAAGGCAGAUCUCUGGGCCGUUACUGACGCUGAGGAGCGAAAGGGUGGGGAGCAAACAGGCUUAGAUACCCUGGUAGUCCACCCCGUAAACGUUGGGAACUAGUUGUGGGGGCUUUUCUACGGUCUCCGUGACGCAGCUAAC
RNAcentral lists this ribosomal RNA (778 nucleotides) under Microbacterium sp. RNAcentral describes it as "bacterial SSU rRNA". It matches the Rfam family "Bacterial small subunit ribosomal RNA", at positions 70 to 856 of the family's 1533-position model. Lineage: Bacteria; Bacillati; Actinomycetota; Actinomycetes; Micrococcales; Microbacteriaceae. The record is from RNAcentral.